GACGAACGCUGGCGGCGUGCUUAACACAUGCAAGUCGAACGGAAAGGCCCUGCUUUUGUGGGGUGCUCGAGUGGCGAACGGGUGAGUAACACGUGAGUAACCUGCCCUUGACUUUGGGAUAACUUCAGGAAACUGGGGCUAAUACCGGAUAGGAGCUCCUGCUGCAUGGUGGGGGUUGGAAAGUUUCGGCGGUUGGGGAUGGACUCGCGGCUUAUCAGCUUGUUGGUGGGGUAGUGGCUUACCAAGGCUUUGACGGGUAGCCGGCAUGAGAGGGUGACCGGCCACAUUGGGACUAAGAGACGGCCCAGACUGCUACGGGAGACAGCAGUGGGGAAUCUUGCACAAUGAGCGGAAGCCUGAUGCAGAAACGCCGCGUGCGGGAUGACGGCCUUCGGGUUGUAAACCGCUUUCGCCUGUGACGAAGCGUGAGUGACGGUAAUGGGUAAAGAAGCACCGGCUAACUACGUG
Molecule: ribosomal RNA, 468 nt
Filed under: uncultured bacterium
Lineage: Bacteria
Description: partial 16S ribosomal RNA
Rfam family: Bacterial small subunit ribosomal RNA
Source: RNAcentral